This 85-nucleotide transfer RNA is filed under the name Mycoplasmataceae bacterium. RNAcentral describes it as "tRNA-Leu". It matches the Rfam family "tRNA". Rfam says of the family: Transfer RNA (tRNA) molecules are approximately 80 nucleotides in length. Their secondary structure includes four short double-helical elements and three loops (D, anti-codon, and T loops). Lineage: Bacteria; Bacillati; Mycoplasmatota; Mollicutes; Mycoplasmatales; Mycoplasmataceae. The record is from RNAcentral.
GCACGCGUGGCGGAACUGGCAGACGCGCUAGACUUAGGAUCUAGUUCUUCACGGAGUGGGGGUUCAAGUCCCUUCGCGUGCACCA